Molecule: RNA transcript, 7048 nt
Organism: Felis catus (domestic cat)
Lineage: Eukaryota; Metazoa; Chordata; Mammalia; Carnivora; Felidae
Gene: TESC
Gene name: tescalcin
Exons: 9
Source: RefSeq, a predicted model, not a curated record
GGAUGAGGGGAGAGAAUGCAGGUCCGGGUGCCAUACUGUGUGCUUCAUGAAACAGGCCCUCGGGGCGGAGCCCUUAUGAAACCCGGAACGUGCAAGGCCCCGUCUUAUUGGGAAAGACACGGCGGCCCGCCAGCCCGAAAUGUCUCCUCAGACCAGAUCGAGCAGCUCCACCGGAGGUUUAAGCAGCUGAGUGGAGACCAGCCCACCAUUCGCAAAGAGAACUUCAACAAUGUUCCUGACCUGGAGCUCAACCCGAUCCGCUCCAAAAUCGUCCGUGCCUUCUUCGACAACAGGAACCUGCGCAAGGGAUCCAGUGGCCUGGCCGACGAGAUCAACUUUGAGGACUUCCUGACCAUCAUGUCCUACUUCCGGCCCAUCGACACCACCAUGGACGAGGAGCAGGUGCAGCUGUGCCGGAAGGAGAAGCUGAGAUUUCUAUUCCACAUGUAUGACUCGGACAGCGACGGCCGCAUCACCCUGGAGGAAUAUCGAAAUGUGGUAGAGGAGCUGCUGUCGGGAAACCCGCACAUCGAGAAGGAGUCGGCCCGCUCCAUCGCCGACGGGGCCAUGAUGGAGGCGGCCAGCGUGUGCGUGGGGCAGAUGGUGGUACAGGAGCUGCUUCUGUCUUCGGGGGAGCCGGAGGGGGUAGAGUCUGAGGAGGAGAAGAGCUACGGAGGAAGGGAAGGAGAUGACCCACCCGCGAACUCAGAACCUGCAAAGAAGCUUCCUCAAAAGAGCCAACAGGGAUCCAGGGGUCAUGGAAUUUGGCCUGGAUGGGAUCAUCCUUUGUGGUCCUCACACGGACUCAGGUGCCGUGCAUGGUCUACGGGUAAAGAGGCCCCAAACUACAUACGCGUAUUGGAUCACGCUUGUAAAUUCUGCCAAGUAAAUCCUCGGAGUCCUUCUUGAUCACUCGCUCUGGGAAUGGACUUUCCCUUCGUGGUCCUCUCAGUUUCUGCUUUGCUGUUUUGAAGGGACAUCGGGCGGUUGCUGCUGCACAGUCUCCAUCCUUUGUAAGGUGACCACUUGGCCUCCCCCUCCCUCGGAAAUGGAGGCUGUUUAUCAUACUCGUGCCCCCCCCCCCCAGGUGUUGCCCUGCUGUAGCGCCGUGGUUUAGGGUAGCGGUUUCUCGGCCAGCUCUUCCUCUUCCAUCCUGCGUGGAGGAUGGCUGUUUAUGCAACACACAUGUAGAAAAUAAUCUACUUUGUAUCACAGGUUGUGGACAAAAGAGCAGACCACAAAGUCCUUAAUGCAAUUGUAUAAAUAUAUAAUUAUGAAUCAUGGUUAAGAACUAGGAGGAAACAGGCCUGUGAUCCCAAGUCUACACCGGGUGGUGGCAUCACAGACCAGCCCGAGUGAGUAUGUGCUCUCGGGUCCAGGGGAGGUGGGGCCGUGUCAGCUCAGGCACCUCCCCUCCCCCUGUCCCUGGAGAAAGGGCUUGAAGACCGGAACGAUGGCGGCAGCAGGUGAGCAGGGCCCUGGACUGUAGUGUAAAGACGUGGGGGGAGGUCCACACGGUAUCCGGACAGAGGGGCCCGGAUGGGGCCAGGGUGGACAUGGAGGGGUGGGGGGAGGAGGUGCAGCGUGAGUGGUAAGAAAGCCCCAGAGGAGGACCAGAGCACCCAGAAAACAGACAAGACAAGCCGCGACAGGCUCCCGCUUUCCACAGGCAGCUACAGAAAAACGAAUAGGCAGCGGAGGAAGGCAAAGGCAGCCGAGGCAUGUGUGGGGUCAGACGAGUGCACCCGGGGGUCGUGUUCUUCCCCCCAGGAGUUUCCAAAUCCGGCAGGCAUGGUUCUUCCCGCUUUUCUCCCCGCUCCGCAGGGAGGCUCGCGCCUAACUCCGGUCCUGGGGGAAGGCGAGCGCGAGGGCAUAGCCGUGGCCGGCCGUGGGGUCCGCGGACGAACGGCAGACGGGCAGCGUGCUCUGCAAGGCCAGCCGGUCCACCGCAAACUCGUAGGCGUGGAUCAGCCCGCGGUGCCUGGAGGAAGCACAGACAGCAUGCGUCGGGACGGUCCCCGUGAACGCUCCCGUCCUUCGGGCCGACAGCGUGGCAGACACGCAGUCCCGGGACUGGAGACAGGUGAGCCACCGCGUCUGACGGAGGGGAGGCCAGCAGUCACCCGAGCCACCUGCACAGGGGUCUCUCCCUCGUUGGGAACGGAGUCCCCCAGCAGAUGGAGCAGGAGGAGGGGGCUUUGCCACCGUCACCGGGAGCGUAACCACGGCGGGAGCAUCGCGAUGCGCACACUUUGCUGCGCGGCCGCGUAAGUUCACAGCUUCUGUGAAAACAAUGGCCGUACCUGACGGGGUACGAGGUGACCCAGGGGUCCUAGUAACACAGUCAAGCCAAGAUGCUGUGUUCUAAGCCCCGACAAAGCCAGCCCCACGCACUGACCUCCUGUGGGCCGUGAAGUCCAGGUCAGUGUUGCGCACCACCCUCUCGUAGGGCACGUUGGCCGUGAUGAGGCUGUGGCUGUUGAAGGACAGGUGGCGGACGGGGUGCCUGGAACACAACGGAGAGCGCCUGGUAAAGGGAAGCCCCCCCAAACUGGGCCCCCUCUACGUUCGGAAGUUUAGAGUACAGGGGCUCUAGAACCCUCUACCAAGCUUCUCAUGAACAGGGGAGGAACCCGGGCCCCCAACAGGGGCAGAGACUUGCCUUGGUUCUAUACUCUGCGCACUGCUGUUAACAAGUCCGGGUGCCCCCUAUGUCUCCUGGCCGGCCACCCAACUUGGUAUGUUUUGACGUGAAGAAUUUUAGCAGCACGUGGUAGAAAACAGCCCCAUUUCUGGCUGGCCAGCCCUGGACAGGUUCGCCAGGCUCCCCCGCUGCAGGGUGUGGGGCUGAUCCAUCAAAGGCCCCCUCCUCCUACGUUUGAGAGGGCUACAACUGAUAGUUGGACUCUGUGCUCUUGUGCUGCAAAAUUUUGCAACAAACAGUAGCUUGAAACCGACGGGUGGAGAAAAGGCUUUUGUUCAUUCUAAACACUUCUAUCCAGUGCCUUGGUCACAGCUCCAAGCCAGGAGCCACAGGAUGUAAAGGAUGUCCAAUGCAAUCGGGAACCUGCUAUCAGAGGUUUCCUAACUAGCUAAGAAUGUAAGAGUGCAUUCCCCCAAAAUGAAACCAAGGUUUCUAGAGCAUGAAAGAUGUCACAAGCCCCAAGGAUGGGACACAGGCUUCAGCACUGAGCCCAUCAGCCAGGCCCUUGCAGAAAGGCAGAGAUGAGGGAAACUCUGUGCAGGCCGAGCAGGGGCUGGCUUCUUGGCCGGAACAGAGCAUUCUCUCCUUGGUAUCGAAAGUCCGGGGGAAUCUGAACCUGGCCCCGCCAGUCCAGGAUUCAGGGCACCAACCAGAAGUAAGCAUGUCUGGGAGACUUCACUAGGGGCCCGGCGAGGUGUGGCCAAGGGAGAGCAGGCUGAGUGUGGAGGGAGAGGCUCUGCUGUACCGCGGGGCCGGACCAGAGGCUCGAGAGGACCCAGAAGGGCUGCACGCAAGGCAGGCGAGGACCUGGUGAGCACACGAGCUCCAGGUAGGACACUGAAGAGUGAGGCCCAGCCCUUCACUGGUGGACAUGGGGACCUUGCCAGGUGGCCCAAGCCACUAACUGGCGGCAAGGACUGCUUGUACACUUACAAGUGAGUUAGGGAGGCAAGUGCCGGGACAGGACACGGCGGGGGAAGACCUCACUGACUGUGGCUUCGCUUGAAUGAUACGUCAAAGGGAACACAGCUCUUCCGGGAGAGAAAACGAGAUUUUGCUGGAGUCCAGCCCUAGUGAACAGGUGGCGCUGCUGCUGGAAAGCGGGACGGGAGGGUGGCAGCCCCCCAGGGCCCCAGCUGCAGUGAGCUGUGCUAGUAGGAGAGGCUGCCCCAGCUCGUCCAAGCAAUAAAAGGGCUUCCUCCUUCUAAGGUGCCACCAUGGAGGACGUUUAGUUGCCUUUCGGCACCACCUGGUGGCAACUCUUCGUAUCACCACAGAAAGCAGGAAAAGGGCUUUUGCACCUGUUUGCUGAGUAAGACAGGGCUGGACAGAGCCAGACGGUGUAGUCUGAUAGAAGCUGCCGGAGGGAGCAAGCACUAGCCACCCCCCUCUUUUAAGAAGCAGCCAAUUCCUGUUUUAACCUUGCCACCGCUGGUACCGGGCCUGGACUGUACUGCCUUCUCUUACUAGGACUUGAAAUUUCUAUUUGUGGGCUCAGCGUCUGUGUGUUUCUUCCUCUUCUUCUCCCAAUCCACGUCGCAGAAUGUGCCUUCACAGUGGUGCUGUGCCAGCUGGGAAGAAGGCUCUCCUCUUUCCCUGCCCCCAACUGGUGGCAUGUAGGGCCAGGUGGCUGUGGCAGGGUAAGGGGGGAGGGAGAGCCCCUUCCCCAGGCAAGAGGGGGACGGCCUCAAGUCAGCUCCAGGCACGGCUGCCUCUACCUGUUAGGCAUCCUUAACGUUAUCUGCCUACAUCCGUGAGGCCCCCCACCUACACUUGGGAUAAUGAAAGACCACACUGCUCCCUCCUUAGCUGAAGCCUGACUACUUGCAGUCCUAGGGCCCUUCUAAACAGUGGAAAGCAAGUCCAAGAAAUGGACAAUCAAGGUCCCGCAUGUUGGGACUCCAGAGUGGAGGAUGCGGUUGGGGACUCCCAGCAGGCCUUGCCUACCCUGGCUGGGUGUAAGUCACGGCAGCUUUAACGGCGUGAGUAGAACUACCUCUCCAGUGACCAGCGCCGUCUCUGGGUCUCAGGUUCCUCGCCUGAGAAAUGGAGAGAGGAACUGACCGCAGCCAGCUCCUCGGUUAUGCUGAGGAUGGUGUGGUGACACAAGGAAAUGGCUCAGAGGCGGCCUGCUACCCCUACGGCUCCUGUUCCGUUCAGUUACCUGGAAUGCACCUCCCACAGCUUCUGGUUCAUCCGAUAGUCCCACACCGAGACCAGGCCUUCUUCGCCUCCACUGACGAUUUUCCAGUCGUCCAUCUGCACUGCAGAGACGCCCAGUUGGUGGGCGGAGAGCGACAGGGCGAUUUUGUCAGUGCGGAAGUCAUGGAUCCUCACCCUGGAAGGCCCGAGAGAAGCACAGGGAAGAGAAAUGGGAUUCGUGUUAAGGCCCGAAAUGACAGGUUCAUCCUUGGUUGUGCUGGUCGAUGCCCAACAAUCUUGUGCCAGAACGUUUAAAAAGAAAAGAAAAACCGUUGUGUGCCAACAUCUUCAUACUGAUAUAGAACUUUUACCUCCUUAUUAGUACGUGGUCAUAGGAUGCUAGGGUGCGACAGAAAUGAACGAGUUUACAGUACCCACAACUGUCCAAUCAGAAUGAUUUAAAAGCCCCCGGAACAAGAUAGACUCAAGACAACUAUAUCAGCUGACCCGUCACACAUGCUUUCUCUGCUCAACAGGGAAGACACCUGCCCUGAGCGGGAGUCCACACACAGGAAAGCUCAACUCUGACCACACCGGACUGAGGAGGCUGACCCAGUGAAAAGGACUCCAAAUCUGCUACCUGUGGAUCUCUCGAAAAGGGAUGUGGCAAAAUACUGGAAGGACUGUGAGGGGAGCACCCAGAGGGACGCAUGAAACACUCCAGCGUGGCUCGAGAAGAUGGCUUUGCGAAGUCACAGACUGCAUGUGGGAAGAACCCACCUAGGAGCAAGAAGGGCUCCUAAUGGAUCACCAGGUACCUACAACUCAGUAUGUGCUACGAAUGGGAGGUGGACUGCAGCAUGAAAAGCUUUAUAAUGAUGGAGACAGUUUAGUAAGUGUCUGAUAAAAUUUGCCUGGACAGGAAAAACCUACACGGACCUAAUUUUUUUUUGGAGAUUUUUUUUUUUUUUAAAUAAUGGUUUCUUCAGUCACUAUGUACUCAGGUUUGAGCCGAUUUUCUUCAAUCUCCUGGGAAUUACCCAAACUGACCCCUGAGGAUAGAAAAAGUAACAAUGAGCCGACGGGGAAAGCUCUCAAGGGAGCCAACCGUCCCUGGAACAAGCGAGCAACACAGGCACACCCUGGAGGGAAGGCCCCCUGGGGCCGCGCACCCGGCUCCCCAGCACAAGAAGGAGCAAACCGCUUCCCCGAUCUUGAUGUGAGGCCGGCAUCCUGUCAUCACCCAGACCCUGCCGAUCGGCCCAGUGUGAGAGGCGGCACUGGGUCUGGGUCAACGCCAGACCUCAAGACAGUACGGCAGGGUCCAGAGCCAUGUGCUACCCACGAGCAGAACCUGUCGGGGAAUCUACUGCAGUUCACCACGUGACCGCAACGAAUGGGGAAAGCCACACGGUCGUUUCCACAAAUGCUGAAAAGAAAUUCGAGGAGACAGAACACUUCCUUCUAACGAAGGCUUUAAAAAACGAUGAUCCGUUUUUACCAAUACUUCACAUUGUUUAAAAACAGACACAAUUAGGGGCACUUGGGUGGCUCAGGUCACGAUCCCGAGGUUCGUGAGUUUGAGCCCCGCGUCAGGCUCUCUGCCGGAGCCUGCUGGGACCCUCCGUCCCCCUCCCCCACUUGCACCCUCUCAAAAAUAAACAUUAAAAAAAAAAACAAAAACAACCAGACACGAUUAGAUAAAAGACAAAAUGAGAAGGGGACAAAUUAGAGAUGACAGCCAAAGAUAAUUCAGUAAUAACUCAGAAUCAAAUGAAAUUAAUACGUCAAAAUCAAUAGCUGUCUUAAAACCAACCACUGGUUUUAAAAAUGUAAUCAAAGAAAAGAUCCCACUUAAGAGAGCAAUUAACUCUCUCAACUUGGAUCUCUACCGUAUACACUGCAUCAAAAUAAAUUACAGGUGGCUCAAAGAGUUCAACAUAAUUAACGGCCAAGAAUAUUCAGAAUAGGGAAGGCCCUUCUAAACACAUAAACCCAGAAGUCAAAAAUAUUGAUAAAAGUAUUGAAAUUUUUCCCACGGAGGGGGGAAAAAUCAAAGUCGAGGCAAAUGAUAAACUGGGGAAAAUGUAUGCAUCAGAGAGGAAUGGCUAAUUUCUUGUAAAAAAAAAAAAAAAUUCCUUCAAAUUGAAAAUAAAGAUGGGCAACCUGAAAUUAAAAUAAAAGCUAAGAAAAAACAGGAAA